Long non-coding RNA from Bos taurus (domestic cattle), 384 nucleotides. The record is from Ensembl. NCBI's taxonomy places the organism in Eukaryota, Metazoa, Chordata, Mammalia, Artiodactyla, Bovidae.
AUAUAUGCUUUAUAGUGAAUUUCCAUUUGUUGACCUGUCUUUCCAGAAAUGUGUGGAAACUAGUACAACUCUACUGAACUUACUUUGUUUCUCACCAGAAUCCUUUGGGGCAACUAGAGAAUUGGAGUCACCACCUGAUGGAGAACUAGAAGACUGACACAAAAAGCAUAACAGAAGGGAGGAGCUCAGAAGAUAGGAUAGCAAUUUAAAAAAUGGUGAUUCCAAAGGGACAGUUUUAGAGCUCCUUCAACCCAAGAGAUGUUCCACAGACUGCUUCAUCUAAACUCAGUUUCAUCACCUUACCUAUUUUUCUACUUUAUCUUUUCUCAAGAAUGUGAGUGCCAUAGUUUAUACUUGGCAAAAAACUCACCCAGAUAUGCCUUU